UACGUAGGGACCAAGCGUUGUUCGGAUUUACUGGGCGUAAAGGGCGCGUAGGCGGCUUAACAAGUCACACGUGAAAUCCCCAGGCUUAACCUGGGAACUGCGUGUGAUACUGGAUGGCUUGAAUUCGGGAGAGGGAUGCAGAAUUCCAGGUGUAGCGGUGAAAUGCGUAGAUAUCUGGAGGAAUACCGGUGGCGAAGGCGGCAUCCUGGACCGACAUUGACGCUGAGGAGCGAAAGCUAGGGGAGCAAACGGG
Molecule: ribosomal RNA, 253 nt
Filed under: uncultured bacterium
Lineage: Bacteria
Description: partial 16S ribosomal RNA
Rfam family: Bacterial small subunit ribosomal RNA
Source: RNAcentral